RNAcentral lists this long non-coding RNA (125 nucleotides) under Phasianus colchicus (ring-necked pheasant). RNAcentral describes it as "lncRNA (ENSPCLG00000004389.1)". The record is from RNAcentral. Lineage: Eukaryota; Metazoa; Chordata; Aves; Galliformes; Phasianidae.
AAAAUCCAAAUCGUGGCAGUGAGAUAUGAAGAGAAUACAAGGUUGGAGCUCAGUAAUGGAGAUUUCAUCUGGUUUGCUCUGCUAAUGUGAUACCCAGAGGCUCCACUUGAUGGGGAUCCAAUUGC